GAGUGGCGAACUGGUGAGUAACACGUGGGAAACCUGCCCAGAAGCGGGGGAUAACACCUGGAAACAGAUGCUAAUACCGCAUAACAACUUGGACCGCAUGGUCCGAGUUUGAAAGAUGGCUUCGGCUAUCACUUUUGGAUGGUCCCGCGGCGUAUUAGCUAGAUGGUGGGGUAACGGCUCACCAUGGCAAUGAUACGUAGCCGACCUGAGAGGGUAAUCGGCCACAUUGGGACUGAGACACGGCCCAAACUCCUACGGGAGGCAGCAGUAGGGAAUCUUCCACAAUGGACGAAAGUCUGAUGGAGCAACGCCGCGUGAGUGAAGAAGGGUUUCGGCUCGUAAAACUCUGUUGUUAAAGAAGAACAUAUCUGAGAGUAACUGUUCAGGUAUUGACGGUAUUUAACCAGAAAGCCACGGCUAACUACGUGCCAGCAGCCGCGGUAAUACGUAGGUGGCAAGCGUUGUCCGGAUUUAUUGGGCGUAAAGCGAGCGCAGGCGGUUUUUUAAGUCUGAUGUGAAAGCCUUCGGCUCAACCGAAGAAGUGCAUCGGAAACUGGGAAACUUGAGUGCAGAAGAGGACAGUGGAACUCCAUGUGUAGCGGUGAAAUGCGUAGAUAUAUGGAAGAACACCAGUGGCGAAGGCGGCUGUCUGGUCUGUAACUGACGCUGAGGCUCGAAAGUAUGGGUAGCAAACAGGAUUAGAUACCCUGGUAGUCCAUACCGUAAACGAUGAAUGCUAAGUGUUGGAGGGUUUCCGCCCUUCAGUGCUGCAGCUAACGCAUUAAGCAUUCCGCCUGGGGAGUACGGCCGCAAGGCUGAAACUCAAAGGAAUUGACGGGGGCCCGCACAAGCGGUGGAGCAUGUGGUUUAAUUCGAAGCUACGCGAAGAACCUUACCAGGUCUUGACAUACUAUGCAAAUCUAAGAGAUUAGACGUUCCCUUCGGGGACAUGGAUACAGGUGGUGCAUGGUUGUCGUCAGCUCGUGUCGUGAGAUGUUGGGUUAAGUCCCGCAACGAGCGCAACCCUUAUUAUCAGUUGCCAGCAUUAAGUUGGGCACUCUGGUGAGACUGCCGGUGACAAACCGGAGGAAGGUGGGGAUGACGUCAAAUCAUCAUGCCCCUUAUGACCUGGGCUACACACGUGCUACAAUGGAUGGUACAACGAGUUGCGAACUCGCGAGAGUAAGCUAAUCUCUUAAAGCCAUUCUCAGUUCGGAUUGUAGGCUGCAACUCGCCUACAUGAAGUCGGAAUCGCUAGUAAUCGCGGAUCAGCAUGCCGCGGUGAAUACGUUCCCGGGCCUUGUACACACCGCCCGUCACACCAUGAGAGUUUGUAACACCCAAAGUCGGUGGGGUAACCUUUUAGGAACCAGCCGCCUAAGGUGGGACAGAUGAUAGGGUGAAG
Molecule: ribosomal RNA, 1405 nt
Filed under: Lactiplantibacillus plantarum
Lineage: Bacteria; Bacillati; Bacillota; Bacilli; Lactobacillales; Lactobacillaceae
Description: Lactobacillus plantarum 16S ribosomal RNA
Rfam family: Bacterial small subunit ribosomal RNA
Source: RNAcentral